UACGAAGGGGGCUAGCGUUGCUCGGAAUCACUGGGCGUAAAGGGUGCGUAGGCGGGUCUUUAAGUCAGGGGUGAAAUCCUGGAGCUCAAAUCCAGAACUGCCUUUGAUACUGAAGAUCUUGAGUUCGGGAGAGGUGAGUGGAACUGCGAGUGUAGAGGUGAAAUUCGUAGAUAUUCGCAAGAACACCAGUGGCGAAGGCGGCUCACUGGCCCGAUACUGACGCUGAGGCACGAAAGCGUGGGGAGCAAACAGG
This 253-nucleotide ribosomal RNA is filed under the name uncultured bacterium. RNAcentral describes it as "partial 16S ribosomal RNA". It matches the Rfam family "Bacterial small subunit ribosomal RNA", at positions 524 to 776 of the family's 1533-position model. The record is from RNAcentral.